UACGAGAGGUCCAAACGUUAUUCGGAAUCACUGGGCUUACAGAGUUCGUAGGCGGUCCAGAAAGUGGGGUGUGAAAGCCCUCGGCUUAACCGAGGAACUGCGCUCCAAACUACUGGGCUAGAGGAAGAUAGAGGUGAGCAGAACUGAUGGUGGAGCGGUGAAAUGCGUUGAUAUCAUCAGGAAUACCGGAGGCGAAGGCGGCUCACUGGGUCCUUUCUGACGCUGAGGAACGAAAGCUAGGGGAGCAAACGGG
RNAcentral lists this ribosomal RNA (253 nucleotides) under uncultured bacterium. Its description in RNAcentral is "partial 16S ribosomal RNA". It matches the Rfam family "Bacterial small subunit ribosomal RNA", at positions 524 to 776 of the family's 1533-position model. The record is from RNAcentral.